GCAUCGCUGCAGCACUCACUACAGAUGAAACAGGUGAGCACCCCCCUGGACUCGACGGUCGAGAACCGUCAGAAAAAGAAGUAUCGAUAUCAUCGUAGUUUGAGCAGAGGAGGAAGUGUGUUUAAAUUAAUUAUUGAAAUUUUGAUCGAAGUUCAUUUAUUAUUAUUAUAAAUUUUCACCCACUGGGUAUACUGCAUUUCACCGUUCACGAGGAUAGUGAAGGAUUUUGAGUAAUCCGCAUAUAUUUGGUGAGCACGAUUGGUGAGCACUUUAAUUUCACAAUCUUAGGUUAGGGAUAAUUAAACGCACAUUUUGCAGUCAGGUUCAGACGAAUUAGUAGAGUGCCUACGACAACGAUUAGAGGGCUCAUCUUCAGCCAAUAGGAGUUUGAAGAUCGUCCUAGAAGAAGUCGUGGAAGUACAAAACCUCAAUUGAACUACAUUGGCUGAAAGCUAGAAGGUAGGAAAAACAAAUGUUACCCGUUUCGUAGCGCAUCCUUUCAACCUUAAUCCGCACUCUAAGAUCAUUGAAAAUUUACCUGUGAAAAACUUACUUCUAGAACGAAACUGUUUCGCUGUCAAUUCAUCACAAUUUAUAAAAAGAUAGACGGAUAGUUUUCGGACAUUUGAUACAAAGGGAAGACUUAAUGUGAGUAAACACGAAGCCUUUAUACCCCUUAUACAUACGAUUAAAGAAUAAAUUAUUUUCAGCUUUGAGCUACUGCACUAAAAGUCAGGUUGCUUCAAGGAGCUUCUGCGUGUCCGAACGACCCCAAAACAUCCUCAAAGAUUAACCCAAACCAUGUCGCAGAGAAGGAAGCAUACGGAAGGGUUUGACUGCGAGGGGUGCGAACGGUCAAACUCGGCGGACAACAUGGUUCAGUGCGAUGCGUGUCAAGGUUGGUACCACCUGGACUGCGCGAAUGUUUCGCCAGGAGUGGAGAAUCGUCGGUGGCACUGUACAGCGUGCCCUCCAGUAACUUCCAAACCGAUGAAGUCUGGCAAUAAGAAAACUGCUACUAGCGGCCUGACCCCGAGAGAGUUAAGCGAUGCUAGCUCGAAGAAGGGUGGUAAGGCCAGCGAUUGCAGAGGAAAAGAGACGCCGCUGGUUACCAGUGGAGUAUUGAAGGGUUCGUCGAUGGGUGGUGCGUCGUCUGUCAGCAACUGGACGCCGAAAAAGCACCCAGAAAACUCGAAGCAGGCUGUUAUUCUGGAUAGAUCCGUGCGCACCUCCAGUUCUCAAGCUCUAGCGCAGAAAGCGCUGUUACGUCUAAAAGAGAAACAGGAAUUGGAAGAGCGAAAGCUAGAAAACCAACAGCGUGAGUUGGAGAAAGCACGGGAGCGCCUGCGAAAGGAAAAGGAGCUGGAAGAAGAGGAAAAUGCGAUAACCAAGGAGCGAUUAGAGAUGCUGGAGAAGUUCAUGGAAGAGAAGCACGAUUUAGAGGAACAACUUGCGAUCGAUGAAGUAUCUUCCCAGCGCAGUUCCAACAGCGUUACAUCAUUGACACGGAGAUGGUUGAAAGACCAACUGUCGCGUAACGGAUCUAAACAGCAAGAGGCGAUAAAUGAAACAGUGGAGAACGAAGAAUACCCCGCUACGUUGCCAUCAGGGUUCGCGCACGAAUCGGAAGAACGAAAACGAGCUCUAGCGGCUAAACCUUUAAGACGCAAGCCUGAAGCGCCGACGGAAAGUGUUACGAUUGGGAAAACCCCCCCAGGUGAUGGAAGUCGUGACGGCGCGGCAUCGAGUUUUAACUACAAUGAAACGCCCAUUAUGCAACUGAGUGCAAACCAGAUUGCCGCGAGACAGCUAUGGCCGAAAAAGUUGCCAACGUUUUCGGGAGAUCCCGAAGAGUGGCCCAUAUUCUACAGCAGCUACUUGGAUUCAAACACUGCAUGUGGAUUCACACCGGUAGAAAACGUCAUUCGACUGAGAGAAUGUCUCAAGGGUCCGGCACGCGAUGCGGUGGUGACGAAGCUGAUGUUCCCACAUGCAGUUACGUCGAUAAUAGAAACCCUUCGAAGGUUGUACGGACGGCCGGAGUUGCUCGUGAAGAAUCUUCUGGGAAAAGUCCGGCGCUUGGAGACACCGAAACCGGAACGAUUAGACAGUCUCAUCAAUUUCGGAAUGGCAGUUCAACAGCUGUGCGACCAUCUCGAAGCCGCGAACCUUCGGAGCCAUCUGACAAAUCCGACAUUGCUAGAAGAACUCGUGGAUAAGUUGCCGGCAGCGAUUAAGCUCGAUUGGGUUCGGCACAAGCGAGCGUUCAAAGAUCCGUCGCUAAAGCAGUUUGGUGAGUUUAUGGACAGGCUGGUGGUAGAUGCUAGUGAGGUGACCAUUCUCGUGCAUCCGAAGAACGAAAGUGUCCAAACAGAACGAUCCAGACAGAACCAAAGGACUCAUAUUUACACACACAACGACAUUAUUGCCACAGCUGAUAACGCUCCGCCCCGGAAACCGUGUCCGAUCUGUGCUAAAUUGGAUCAUCGUGUACGGAACUGCGCUGAUUUCAAACAAAUGAGUCUUGAUGCACGUUGGAGAGCAAUAGACGAAAACAGGCUUUGCACCGUGUGCCUUUUCGACCACGGUAACUGGACCUGCAAGUCCAGAUUCUACUGCAACGUCGGAAACUGCCGUGCACGGCAUCACCCAUUGUUACAUCGAGAGGAGAUAGCGACUGUGAUGAAAGCUGACUGCAAGGCUCAUCAGCUAUCAACGGCGAUUAUUUUAUUCCGAGUUGUACCGAUCACGCUGUUCAAUGGUUGGAAGAGUAUUGACACCUUUGCCUUCCUUGAUGAAGGUUCCUCUCACACUUUGAUCGAUGCAAGUGUAACGCGCAGCCUCGGAGUCGUGGGGGUCUCAGAGCCACUGGAGUUGACGUGGACUUCGAACGUGGUCCGCAAAGAGUGUUCGUCGGAGCGGGUAGACUUGGUAAUUUCAGCUAGAGGGGGACUGGAACGGUACAAACUCGUGGCGGCGCGCACAGUUGGCGCACUGAACCUACCGAAACAAAGCUUGCGGUUAAACGAACUGACCAAACAGUUCAAGCACCUCAAGGACGUCCCCGUGGUGCCAUUUGAGAACGCUGAACCAAAAGUGCUUAUCGGUUUACGGAACCUUGAUCUGUUUGCCCCGAUCGAGAGCCGAGUAGGUCGACCAGGGCAACCAAUUGCAGUGAAGAGUGCUCUCGGCUGGACAAUUUAUGGACCAUGCGGAUGCAAUAAGGACCAGGACUCAUUUAUAGGACUCCACGGACAUAUAUCCAACGCAGAACAAGAGCUGAACGAGAUGAUCCGGCAACAAUUUAUGCUAGAAGACACCGGGAUCGCACCUAUUACACUACCGGAGUCGGCGGAAAAUGCACGAGCGAGACAAAUCUUAGAAAAAACCACGAUUCGAGAGAAUGGAAGAUUUGUAACCGGACUAUUAUGGAAGAGUGACGAGAUAUGCUUCCCAGACAGUCUACCGAUGGCGACAAAAAGACUAAAGAAUCUUGAGCGUAAACUGGCCAAGGAUGCCGAACUAAGACAAAACGUACACAAACAAAUUCGCGAGUAUAUUGAGAACAGCUACGCACACAAAGCGACGCAGGAGGAGCUGGGUACAGCCAAUUCCAACCGUGUAUGGUAUCUACCGCUAAACGUGGUGGCGCACCCUAGAAAACCACACAAAACGAGGCUCGUAUGGGAUGCGGCUGCGAAAGUAGACGGUGUGUCGCUGAAUUCUCAACUGUUGAAAGGGCCAGAUCUACUUGUGUUGCUACCGGGAGUAAUCUGCAAAUUUCGCGAAAGGCGUAUCGGGUUUGGAGGCGACAUCGAAAAGAUGUUUCAUCAAAUCCGAAUUAAGCCCGAAGAUACUCAUUCUCAACGAUUCCUGUUCCGCUUCGAUGAGAGUCAAACACCAGAUGUCUAUAUUAUGGACGUUGCAACAUUCGGUGCCUCUUACUCGCCAUGUUCGGCGCAGCACGUAAUGCAUAGAAAUGCGGACGAAAGCAGAGAGGAAUUUCCCGAAGCAGUUGCAGCCAUUAAAGAGAAAACAUAUAUGGAUGACUACUUCGACAGUGCAGACACGCCAGAAGAAGCAUCGCACCGAGCACAGCAAGUGAAACUGAUCCAUUCUCGAGGCGGAUUGAACAUGCGGAACUGGAUCAGCAGCAGUGACGAGGUCCUGCAACACCUAAAGGAGCCAUCUCAGCAAAGGCUGCUUUCUAUCGAUUGCAACGAGGAAGAGAAAGGACAACGGGUUCUUGGAAUAGCGUGGGACUCGAGAAAAGAUAUUUUUGUAUUCUCAACAAGCUGGCACGGUGAGCUGGCUCCGUACGUGCUAGAAGACAAGCGGCCAACGAAACGGAUCGCUCUGCGCAUUAUCAUGAGCCUCUUUGAUCCCCUAGGGUUGCUCGCACCCUUCCUGAUUCAUGGGCGGAUGUUGAUUCAAGAUCUCUGGCGGCUCAACUUGGGUUGGGACACCGAAAUAGCCAACAGAGAGUACGAAAAGUGGCGACAAUGGGUUCACCUGCUUCCCGGCAUCAGUAGCCUAGAGAUCCCGCGCUGUUAUUUCGGAAACGCUCAUUCCAACCUCUACGAGUCGCUACAGCUGCACGUUUUCACCGACGCUAGCGAAUUGGGAUACGGUUGUGCCGCGUACUUCCGCGUCUUGAUAAACCGAGAAGUACGAGUAGCCUUAGUUAUGGCUAGAAGCAAAGUGGCCCCGCUUAAGUACCAAUCCAUUCCGCGGAUGGAACUACAGGCGGCGCUCUUGGGAGCGAGAAUGAUGCACACUGUAAGCAACAACCACACACUGCCAAUCAGAGAAAAGUACGUGCAUACAGACUCAGAAGUGGUACUUGCCUGGAUUCGCUCGCAACACCGAAACUACAAACAGUUUGUCGCGUACCGAGUCGGAGAAAUUCUGUCGUUAACAGAGCCGGAGAACUGGCGACACGUGCCUUCAAAGGAAAAUUUAGCGGACUGCUUGACAAAGUGGGGCAAAGAUACGGUGCCCGAAUCGAACGGAAGGUGGCUCAAUGGCAAGAAUUCGUUCCUCUACCAGGACAUGGAAAACUGGCCGAAACAAAAGCAGAUAGCGGAAACUCCCGAGGAGCUGAGAGCUCACCUUCUAUUGCACCAUGUUGCGGUACCCGAAAGUCUGAUAGACAUUGGACGGUUUUCAAAGUGGAACGUGCUGCUUCGAACUGUGGCAUUACUGGGUCGGUUCAUCUCGAAUUGUCGUCGGAAGUGCAAAGGAUUUCCAAUCGAAGUCGUUAAGGCUACUGAAUGUCAAUGCAAGCUUUUACAACGCACGACUUCGGUCGAAAUCGUCCCGCUGCGUCAGCAAGAGUACUUAAAGGCCGAACAAUAUCUAUGGCGAAUAGCGCAGAGGGAUUUCUAUCCGGACGAAACUAGGAUUCUGCUAAACAACCGAGACGAACCGCAAUUAGGCAAAUGGGUGAAUCUUGAAAAAACUAGCCCAUUAUACAGACUGUCCCCCUUCGCUGAUCAGUUCGGUGUUAUCAGAGUUGAAGGCCGGACGGCCAAUGCAAGUUACGCGACAUUCGAUGCCCGGUUUCCAGUAAUACUACCAAAAGGUCACUUAAUCACCACAUUGCUACUGAACGAUUACCAUUGCCGGUUCGGCCACGCUAAUCGGGAGACGGUAGUCAACGAGGUCCGCCAGCGAUUUUACAUUCUUAACUUGCGAGCGACGGUGGGCAAGGUCAUGAGAGAAUGUCAGCGCUGUAAGAUUACAAAGUGUCAGCCACAGUACCCGCGAAUGGCACCUCUUCCCGAAGAACGUUUGACACCAUUUGUCAGACCGUUUUGUUAUGUGGGUGUGGACUACCUAGGACCACUUGACGUGUCGGUUGGACGUCGCAAGGAGAAAAGAUACGUGGCCGUUUUCACGUGUUUGGUCACGCGUGCCGUCCAUUUAGAAGUAGCCCACUGUCUAUCUACAGACUCGUGUAUCAUGGCAGUGAGAAGAUUCAUCCGCAGGCGAGGAUCGCCAGUGGAGAUAUGUUCGGACAAUGGUACCAACUUCGUCGGAGCAAGCAAUGAGCUGAUCAAGCAGAUCAAGAAUAUCAACAACGGAUGCGCAGACACGUUUACUGAUGCGCGCACUAAAUGGACGUUCAACCCACCGUCUGCGCCCCACAUGGGCGGCGUGUGGGAACGAAUGGUGAGGAGUGUCAAAGAAGCUUUGCGCGCUCUCGACGACGGGAGAAAGCUGAACGAUGAAAUAUUGCUCACGGUGCUGACUGAGGCGGAAUGUUUCAUAAACUCGCGGCCCCUAACGUACAUGCCGCAAGAGUCGGCGGGCGAGGAAGCGAUCACACCGAACCACUUUAUUCUCGGAAGCUCGUCGGCAGCUCACGACCCGCUUCGGACUCCAGUCGACUGGGCUGCGGCGCUGAGGAGUAGCUAUCAACGGUCACAAUAUCUGUCAGAAGCAGCAUGGAACCGUUGGCUGAAGGAGUAUUUCCCGACACUAAACAAACGACCGAAGUGGUUCGAAGAGAGCAAGCCAGUACAGGUUGGAGAUUUGGUUUACGUAGCAGAGGGGAGUAGACGAACGUGGAUACGCGGAAAGGUGCAGCAAGUUAUUGUAGGAAGCGAUGGCAGAAUCCGUCAGGCAGUAGUGCGAACGUCGAGUGGCAGAGAGCUGAAGCGACCGGUAGUCAAGUUAGCGGUUAUGGAGGUGGCAGCUGGUGGAUUCUGUGAGGAGCCCAGUAAUCCUCAUCAGGAUCCACGGGGCGGGGGAUGUUCUGGCAUCGCUGCAGCACUCACUACAGAUGAAACAGGUGAGCACCCCCCUGGACUCGACGGUCGAGAACCGUCAGAAAAAGAAGUAUCGAUAUCAUCGUAGUUUGAGCAGAGGAGGAAGUGUGUUUAAAUUAAUUAUUGAAAUUUUGAUCGAAGUUCAUUUAUUAUUAUUAUAAAUUUUCACCCACUGGGUAUACUGCAUUUCACCGUUCACGAGGAUAGUGAAGGAUUUUGAGUAAUCCGCAUAUAUUUGGUGAGCACGAUUGUCAGGUUCAGACGAAUUAGUAGAGUGCCUACGACAACGAUUAGAGGGCUCAUCUUCAGCCAAUAGGAGUUUGAAGAUCGUCCUAGAAGAAGUCGUGGAAGUACAAAACCUCAAUUGAACUACAUUGGCUGAAAGCUAGAAGGUAGGAAAAACAAAUGUUACCCGUUUCGUAGCGCAUCCUUUCAACCUUAAUCCGCACUCUAAGAUCAUUGAAAAUUUACCUGUGAAAAACUUACUUCUAGAACGAAACUGUUUCGCUGUCAAUUCAUCACAAUUUAUAAAAAGAUAGACGGAUAGUUUUCGGACAUUUGAUACAAAGGGAAGACUUAAUGUGAGUAAACACGAAGCCUUUAUACCCCUUAUACAUACGAUUAAAGAAUAAAUUAUUUUCAGCUUUGAGCUACUGCACUAAAAGUCAGGUUGCUUCAAGGAGCUUCUGCGUGUCCGAAC
This is an RNA transcript of Topomyia yanbarensis, 7473 nucleotides long. RefSeq lists it as uncharacterized. The record is from RefSeq and is a predicted model, not a curated record. Lineage: Eukaryota; Metazoa; Arthropoda; Insecta; Diptera; Culicidae. The transcript is spliced from 2 exons.